Molecule: long non-coding RNA, 1589 nt
Organism: Neoarius graeffei (lesser salmon catfish)
Lineage: Eukaryota; Metazoa; Chordata; Actinopteri; Siluriformes; Ariidae
Exons: 3
Source: RefSeq, a predicted model, not a curated record
UCUCUCUCUCUCUCUCUCUCUCGCUUUAGCUAAAGAAGGAGAAGAACAUCAAGACCUGCUCAUCAUCUGAGCUUAGGCCUCGUUUGGAAUGACAGCUACACUAACAGACUCUUAAAUCUCUAUCCAACAUCGGAGCAUUUGGAGGCCAGAUCCAGAUUCAGUUGUUGCACUUUAUAACCGUCACCACAGACUGAUAAUGAGUGUGUGCCUAUAUUUGUCUAAAGGGCAUGUCUGAAAGGUGUGCGCAUGUAAUGUGCUGACGUGUUUUAUUGAACCUCAGAUGCUCCUCGAAGAAGCAUAGAGCUUUUGGUAACAAACAUAUACUUGAAGGUUGUCAGAGAUGACCGAAGACUUUUAACUCUGAAGUGUUAUGGAGAAUCCGUUCUCAGGCUUUGAGCUGUUCUUCAUCAUCUCAGCCUUCUCUGUGUUCUGUCUGUUCGGCCUGGCUGCUGUUUGUUCACGCAGCCGGCACCCAGGCAACCAAGGUGAAAUUACUUUGAUAGAACUGAACUCAACCUAUCAUAAGAGCCGACUAAAAAGAAAAGAGGAAUUCCAACCAUCAAGAAAAUAAACUUGGAGCUUACACGAGUACUCAAGCAGAGAAAAAGCAUCAAGACAUGCUAUUUUAUACAUUACCUUCCAGACACUCAACACUCCUCAGAAUUUAUGGACCUAAUGGACCGAAUCUUCAUGAAGAGAUAAGAUUUCUCGAACCUUGGAGAAUUUUUUAAACAUCACUGCUGGGUUAUGAACAAUGAACCAACCAAAAAUAUUGACUUAACAACAUCCUGCUGUCAGAAACUGACCACUGAUUAAGGGCUGGAAGAUGAUUAACAUGAUUAAUUAGUGAUUAAGAUACACCUGGGGUGGCACGGUGGCGUAGUGGUUAGCAUUGUCGCCUCACAGCAAGAAGGUCCUGGGUUUGAGCCCAGUGGCCAGCGAGGGCCUUCUUGUGUGGAGUUUGGAUGUUCUCCCCGUGUCUGUGUGGGUUUCCUCCGGGUGCUCCGGUUUCCCCCACAGUCCAAAGACAUGCAGGUUAGGCUAAUUGGUGGCUCUAAAUUGACCGUAGGUGUAAAUGUGAGUGUGAAUGGUUGUUUGUCUCUGUGUCAACCCUGCAAUAACCUGGCAACUUGUCCAGGGUGUACCCCGCCUCUCGCUCAUAGUCAGCUGGGAUAGGCUCCAGCUUGCCUGCAACCCUGUAGAACAGGAUAAGCGGCUACAAAUAAUGGAUGGAUGGAUGGAUGGAUGGAUGGAUGGAUGGAUACACCUGUAGCACCAGCAAAGUAGGUUUGGCUAAUAAAGUGGAUAAUAAGUGGACACAAUGUACACUGCUGUGCUGAGAACAGCCCAUCACCCAAAUAACCUCAGGGCAAUGGUGGUCCCAUGGUGGUGGCCUUUUCUCACAGAUGGGUCAUACUGUGUGUGUAUUUUUUUUUCCAAGAGAACCUGGAUGAAAUUGUGCAGCUGGUGGAACAAUCAAUUGCUUAUUCAAAAAAAAAAAAAAAAGGACCUGGUGUUGUACAGAAAAGCUUGUGAAACCAAUUGUAUAAAGGCGGAAGGUAGAAGUGAAUAAAAUGGAAGAAGAAGUA